GCGGGUGCUUACACAUGCAAGUCGAACGAUGAAGCCCUUUCGGGGGUGGAUUAGUGGCGAACGGGUGAGUAACACGUGAGCAACCUGCCCUUGACUCUGGGAUAAGCCUGGGAAACUGGGUCUAAUACCGGAUAGGACUCCUCAUCGCAUGGUGGGGGGUGGAAAGCCUUGUGCGGUCUUGGAUGGGCUCGCGGCCUAUCAGCUUGUUGGUGGGGUGAUGGCCUACCAAGGCGACGACGGGUAGCCGGCCUGAGAGGGUGACCGGCCACACUGGGACUGAGACACGGCCCAGACUCCUACGGGAGGCAGCAGUGGGGAAUAUUGCACAAUGGGCGGAAGCCUGAUGCAGCGACGCCGCGUGGGGGAUGACGGCCUUCGGGUUGUAAACCCCUUUCAGCAGGGAAGAAGCGGAAGUGACGGUACCUGCAGAAGAAGCGCCGGCUAACUACGUGCCAGCAGCCGCGGUAAUACGUAGGGCGCGAGCGUUAUCCGGAAUUAUUGGGCGUAAAGAGCUCGUAGGCGGCUUGUCGCGUCUGCUGUGAAAGCCCGGGGCUCAACCCCGGGUCUGCAGUGGGUACGGGCAGGCUGGAUUGCANUANGGGAGACUGGAAUUCCUGGUGUAGCGGUGAAAUGCGCAGAUAUCAGGAGGAACACCCAUGGCAACCGCAGGUCUCUGGGCUGUAACUGACGCUGAAGAGCGAAAGCAUGGGGGAGCGAACAGGAUUAGAUACCCUGGUAGUCCCUGC
Molecule: ribosomal RNA, 746 nt
Filed under: bacterium IFC_YC12
Lineage: Bacteria
Description: bacterial SSU rRNA
Rfam family: Bacterial small subunit ribosomal RNA
Source: RNAcentral